UUGACGACUUGUUCUAUCGCUGCGACAAAUUUGUCGGAGAGGAAAGUCGGGACAACAUAGAGCGCCAUACUUCCUAACGGGAAGGGUUCGUUUGUAACGAAUACAGAAAGUGCCACAGAAAAUUACCGCUCUGAGCUUGUCGAAGAGUAAGGGUGAAAAUGUGAGGUAAGAGCUCACGCAACAUUGUGGUGACACAUUGUUGGGGUAAACCUUAUGGGUUGAAAUGCCAAAUAUACCGGAGUUCUCUUUGAGAUAAAAACUGCUCGUUUGAUUCCGGGGGGUAGGCAGAUUGAGGUGCAAGGUGACUUGCAUCCUAGAUUAAUGAUAGAACUCGACAGAAUCCCGCUUAUAAAGUCGUUGUAAUU
This 365-nucleotide RNase P RNA is filed under the name Bacteroidales bacterium OttesenSCG-928-K03. Its description in RNAcentral is "RNase P RNA component class A". It matches the Rfam family "Bacterial RNase P class A". Rfam says of the family: Ribonuclease P (RNase P) is a ubiquitous endoribonuclease, found in archaea, bacteria and eukarya as well as chloroplasts and mitochondria. Its best characterised activity is the generation of mature 5'-ends of tRNAs by cleaving the 5'-leader elements of precursor-tRNAs. Cellular RNase Ps are ribonucleoproteins. Lineage: Bacteria; Pseudomonadati; Bacteroidota; Bacteroidia; Bacteroidales. RNAcentral also lists the same sequence under 1 other name. The record is from RNAcentral.